Molecule: unclassified non-coding RNA, 227 nt
Filed under: Hevea brasiliensis (rubber tree)
Lineage: Eukaryota; Viridiplantae; Streptophyta; Magnoliopsida; Malpighiales; Euphorbiaceae
Source: RNAcentral
AUUAACCCACAUAAGAGAUGGCAAUACAAUGAUUGGUGGAAGUCAGAACCAAAUAUCACUUCAUCAGGGCUGCAGCAAUUGAACUUCAUUGUCCGUACUGCAUUUUUGUAGCAUGAACUGCGAAAGAGAUUUGUUGUGGCAGUCCCAGCAGCCAAACCCCCCUUUGUUCUGGACUGCUUGCCGCUAAAGUUGAACAGCAGGGCUUUCCCAUCCACAGUAGGGAACUC